AACGUAGGUUCCGAGCGUUAUCCGGAUUUACUGGGCGUAAAGCGCGUUCAGGCGGUUUGGCAAGUCGGGCAUGAAAUCCUUCGGCUCAACCGGGGGAGGUUGUCCGAUACUGCUGAACUGGAGGGCAGUAGAGGGUGGUGGAAUUCCGGGUGUAGUGGUGAAAUGCGUAGAGAUCCGGAGGAACACCAGUGGCGAAGGCGGCCAACUGGGCCGGACCUGACGCUGAGGCGCGAAGGCGUGGGGAGCGAACAGG
This 253-nucleotide ribosomal RNA is filed under the name uncultured bacterium. Its description in RNAcentral is "partial 16S ribosomal RNA". It matches the Rfam family "Bacterial small subunit ribosomal RNA", at positions 524 to 776 of the family's 1533-position model. The record is from RNAcentral.